Long non-coding RNA from Xiphophorus hellerii (green swordtail), 658 nucleotides. RefSeq lists it as uncharacterized. Lineage: Eukaryota; Metazoa; Chordata; Actinopteri; Cyprinodontiformes; Poeciliidae. The record is from RefSeq and is a predicted model, not a curated record. The transcript is spliced from 4 exons.
AUUGCACUAAUAACACUUGUGCUUGAUAUCAACAGCAAUAAGAUGUUCCGUCCCUCAGAUUGAACAUGGCCGUGUGCUUGGUGCCGCUCAGGAGUACAAAGAACAAGAAAUCUUAGAUUUUAGAUGUGAUCAUUCUUAUAAACGGGCUGAUGAGAGAACUCCAAGAUGCACAAAAUUUGCAGGAAAAGCAGACUGGAGUCCCACACCUGCAUGUAAAGUAAUUAAAUGUGAACUGAAUCUGGCAUCAAUCCCUGGGACAACCCACGACCCUCCAUACAAAAACAUGUUUUUACCUGGAGAAACAGUGAGAGUCACAUGUGGGGAGAAUCACUGGAUUCUGGACACGCAAACAACGGUGGCUGAUGUUACAUGUGGAAUCAAUGGAGACUGGAAUACGGAUCCGAUAUGCCAAGAGGUUACAUGCCCACGAUACAUACAAGAACCACAUUUGUAUCGUUUUGUUAACGCUUGGGCCAAAAACAAAUUAGGUGACAGAGUACAGUAUGGCUGUGACUACAACUACGAUCCUGCAAGUUCAGACAGAACAGCGACGUGUACCAGAGACGGAUGGACACCGAAACCACUUUGUCGUGGGAGACAGUGUGAAAACCCUAAUAUUGAAAACUCCAGAAUUACCAGCAGUAGUAGAGAAAGAAAU